GGGGUUGUGGCUCAGUGGUAGAGUGCUUGCCUACUAUGCGUGAUGCACUGGGUUCAACUCUCAGCACCA
Non-coding RNA from Ictidomys tridecemlineatus (thirteen-lined ground squirrel), 69 nucleotides. Lineage: Eukaryota; Metazoa; Chordata; Mammalia; Rodentia; Sciuridae. The record is from Rfam.